GGGGGAGCGUGGGGAGCCCGGAGCCCCCGGUCCCGCUGGAUUUGCCGGACCCCCAGGCGCUGAUGGACAACCGGGUGCCAAAGGCGAGCAGGGAGAGCCUGGCCAGAAGGGUGACGCCGGUGCCCCUGGUCCCCAAGGUCCCUCUGGAGCCCCUGGCCCUCAGGGUCCAACUGGUGUAACUGGUCCCAAAGGAGCCCGGG
Molecule: long non-coding RNA, 200 nt
Organism: Empidonax traillii (willow flycatcher)
Lineage: Eukaryota; Metazoa; Chordata; Aves; Passeriformes; Tyrannidae
Exons: 3
Source: RefSeq, a predicted model, not a curated record